GCGGCCGUAGCUCAAUGGCAGAGCGCUCGCUUCCCAAGCCAGAUACGCGGGUUCGAUUCCCGUCGGCCGCUCCA
Molecule: transfer RNA, 74 nt
Filed under: Sinomonas flava
Lineage: Bacteria; Bacillati; Actinomycetota; Actinomycetes; Micrococcales; Micrococcaceae
Also listed under: 2 other names
Description: tRNA-Gly
Rfam family: tRNA
About the family: Transfer RNA (tRNA) molecules are approximately 80 nucleotides in length. Their secondary structure includes four short double-helical elements and three loops (D, anti-codon, and T loops).
Source: RNAcentral